This 234-nucleotide ribosomal RNA is filed under the name uncultured bacterium. RNAcentral describes it as "partial 16S ribosomal RNA". It matches the Rfam family "Bacterial small subunit ribosomal RNA", at positions 524 to 755 of the family's 1533-position model. The record is from RNAcentral.
UACGGAGGGUGCAAGCGUUGUCCGGAUUUAUUGGGUUUAAAGGGUGCGUAGGCGGCCCCAUAAGUCUGCGGUGAAACCCACGGGCUCAACCCGUGGCGUGCCGACGAUACUGUGGGGCUUGGGUCGUCUCUGGGCGGGCGGAAUGGAAGGUGGUAGCGGUGAAAUGCAUAGAUAUCUACCAGAACGCCGAUACGCGAAGGCAGCUCGCUGGGGACGUACCGGACGCGAGGCACG